Ostrea edulis (European flat oyster) is the source of this 543-nucleotide long non-coding RNA. RefSeq lists it as uncharacterized. The record is from RefSeq and is a predicted model, not a curated record. Lineage: Eukaryota; Metazoa; Mollusca; Bivalvia; Ostreida; Ostreidae. The transcript has 3 exons.
GUCACAUACAACUUCAAACUGUAGAUAGAUGACACAGGUGAUAUUUUAAAUUCUCACUGUGAAUGUCCAGCAGGCAGAGGGCCCCAUGGGACCUGUAAACAUUUAGCUGCAGUAUUGCUGAUGUUACAUCAUUUUGCUGCAGGCAAAGGGCUGUGUAUUAGGAGAUCCUGUACUGAAAAUCUACAAACAUUCCAUAAGCCAAAAUAUUCAUUUACAGACUGCUGCACAUGACCACGAUUACCUGAAAAAACCAUUCACAGAAUACUGGGUAGAGAAGGCAAUUCAGGUAACUAUGACAGGAGCUUCAGCGAUUGAAAAGAGACCUAGAGGGCAGUCUUCGUCCCAAGAAUGGUUCAACGAGAGAUCUUGGCGUAUCACUGCAUCAAGAUAUGGCGACAUUUGUUUGGCUACAGAGAGGAGAGACAAGGUGAAACUUUGCCAAUCCCUACAUCAGCCUUCAGCAGCUUCAUUUAGAUCAGAGGCACUUGUACAUGGGAAGACCUACGAGAGUCGAGCAUUAAAAAACUUUGAGAAAAAAACCAA